Molecule: long non-coding RNA, 1259 nt
Filed under: Fragaria vesca (wild strawberry)
Lineage: Eukaryota; Viridiplantae; Streptophyta; Magnoliopsida; Rosales; Rosaceae
Description: long non-coding RNA (FVES_LNC002070)
Source: RNAcentral
AGGCUAAGAGCUUCAUCUAUUUGUUGAAAGGUGGCUUAUCUGGAUAAAAUGGAUUAAGUCAAAGCUCAGUCCAGAUUGAUUGGAUCCUCUCAUCUUUCUUUCUUGAGAGAUCAAACUCUAUAUAUAUGAUCUCGAUCAUCCACUAGAUAUAUUUGAAUAGUCUUAGUAAUUAUCUCCCUUUCAUCUUUGGAGAUAAACCAAAGACUAAUAGACAAAAUUUGAUAUAAAUUUCAAUUGCUUGAAUGUAAAGGAUACUCCUCUAAAACGAUGUGAUCGAGCUUUCGGGAUUACAAUCAAGAUUGAAGUUAAAAUUAACUAAAUAAACUCUUAAACAUCGUUGAAUGAUUGUCCAAUGUGUUGUUCAUGUUGGAAAAAUGUGACUUAGAUUAUAACAUUUUGAAAUCUCACAUCAGAAACGUGAGGAGUUAUCUUUGGAUUAUAAGAAACAUGAAGAGUUAUCCUUAGGUUAUAAUGAAUGAUACUAUACAUACUAAUGCCGAGAUCUUUUGUGUUAAAACCUCAUACCCAUUUCACAUCCGAGUGACUAAACUAGAGACAAUAUUUGCAUUUAUGGACCUGUGUGUGAGGCCAUCGGGGCCCAUCGGCCGCUUCCGCAUAACAAGUGGUAUCAGAGCUCAUGUGACGCUUGAGACUUGGUGUCACACCACUUAGAAACGAAAAACCACCUAUAGCUAAAAAUUACAAUCCAUCGAUCAAAGAUUCAAAUAAUAUACGGUUUUUUAAUUUCUCUUUGGCACUUAAAUUUCGAGAUAAUUUAUACAACUGAAGUGGGUGUUAGGUUGAUCAGCAAUAUGGGUAAACCUAUGACACAACAAAUUAGUAUAGCUUUAUGAAUUGAUCGCAAUUUUAAUUAGUUUUGUUCAAAAUUGGGAGUGUCAUAUCUUGCGUCAUAUCUAUAAGUUAAGCAGAAAAUGGCAAACGACAACAACUCAUGUUCUUCUAUAUAUCCAUGCGAUGCAAUUAUACGUGGGUUGCGUUGCGUGCUGCAUAAACUUCUUGCUCUAAUUAGUUUUCAUCUUCUGCAACAAGUAAUCCCAUUUCAAUUAGUUAAUUACUUAAUCAAGACCCUGCCUCACUUAGUCUCAAACCACACUGCCGCUGCUGCUAAUUUAAAUCAAACUUAAUUAUUAUAAAUCUUGACAAGAAAACAAACACACUACGAGCAAAUAUAAUAGCUAGGGUUUAUAUCAUACUCAACCUCUGAAUCCCCAGAACCACAUAAUGACAAUCCACGUCUG